This 497-nucleotide ribosomal RNA is filed under the name uncultured bacterium. RNAcentral describes it as "partial 16S ribosomal RNA". It matches the Rfam family "Bacterial small subunit ribosomal RNA", at positions 28 to 507 of the family's 1533-position model. The record is from RNAcentral.
GAUGAACGCUGGCGGCGUGCCUAAUACAUGCAAGUCGAGCGAACAGACGAGGAGCUUGCUCCUCUGACGUUAGCGGCGGACGGGUGAGUAACACGUGGAUAACCUACCUAUAAGACUGGGAUAACUUCGGGAAACCGGAGCUAAUACCGGAUAAUAUAUUGAACCGCAUGGUUCAAUAGUGAAAGACGGUUUUGCUGUCACUUAUAGAUGGAUCCGCGCCGCAUUAGCUAGUUGGUAAGGUAACGGCUUACCAAGGCAACGAUGCGUAGCCGACCUGAGAGAGUGAUCGGCCGCACUAGAACUGAGCCACGGUCCAGACUCCUACGGGAGGCAGCAGUAGGGAAUCUUCCGCAAUAGGCGAAAGCCUGGCGGAGCAACGCCGCGUGAGAUAUGAAGGUCUUCGGAUCGUAAAACUCUGUUAUUAGGGAAGAACAAAUGUGUAAGUAACUAUGCACGUCUUGACGGUACCUAAUCAGAAAGCAACGGCUAACUACGUG